This is a long non-coding RNA of Thamnophis elegans (Western terrestrial garter snake), 486 nucleotides long. RefSeq lists it as uncharacterized. The transcript is spliced from 3 exons. The record is from RefSeq and is a predicted model, not a curated record. Lineage: Eukaryota; Metazoa; Chordata; Lepidosauria; Squamata; Natricidae.
AUGCUUCUGUCCAUCCUCCACAUAUGCUUCCUCCUUUCCUUUUGACAAAGCCAUUUCUGACGCCCAGAGCAGAGCUUUUCAGGCUGACCAGAGCUCCGAUUAUUCAAGAAGAUGGUGUGACUCAUAAUUGGUGCCUGCCGUUAUGUGGCUAGGAAAAUAACAUUGUUCCUGCGCCAGGAGGAUGGGGCAGAGACCAUGUUGGCUUGCAAGAACCGGACAACUCCAGCUGGUAUCCCAAAAAAGCCAGGAGGGUCUGAAUGCAUUCCUUGCUCAGCCAGCGAAAAAUGUCCUCUCGCGGCUACUUCGGAAGUCAGAACCCAGGAACCAAACUCCUGAUGAAGUAAAAUAAAAACGGACAGCAGAGCGGAAAAUGACGGUUUGUUUGACAAAAUCCUGUGGAUGCAGGAAGUGAACAGACCUGAGAAUCUGUCCUCCUCUCGUUGUUCCACGAUGAAAAUAAAUUUCAAUAAAGAAGUGUUCCAUGCA